Molecule: long non-coding RNA, 5438 nt
Organism: Zeugodacus cucurbitae (melon fly)
Lineage: Eukaryota; Metazoa; Arthropoda; Insecta; Diptera; Tephritidae
Exons: 3
Source: RefSeq, a predicted model, not a curated record
AUGGAUGUUGCAGUUUACAACGACCUCUUGGCGCUGAUAACACCAUAAAUUAAACUCUUUCCAAAAUUGCUCGUUCAUGCGCGACACCAUCUCUGCACACUGUCUUUUUUUCAACUGAAAAAAUACACUGCGUGCAUUGCAGCCCUUCCCACGAUCACACUUGUGUGACACACCAGCAGGAAAAUUAAACAAUUUUGAAAACUUUGAACAUGUGUGCCAUGCAUGUUUUUUCCCCCUUUACACGAUACAACUUGGUGUGAUGUCACACAUAUUGUCACACAUAUGUGACCGUGUAAAGGCCGCUAAUGUAAUUAAUGAAAUCGGUUCAGGAAUUACCUCAGCCCUCAUAUCUAUAUAUCGUCACCUAAAAUGCAAAAGGCCGUAACUAACAUUUUUAGUAUUUUACAGGAGAAGCAAAAAACGUUAUAGAUUAAAGACUACUUAAAGCUAAAUAUCCAAAUUGUAGAUUUAAGCUUAGAAAACAAAGACGGAUUUGUUUCUGAAAACCAAAUUAAUGGGAAAAAAGCAGUUUUUAAGAAAUGUUAGUUACGGCCUUUUGCACUCUAUUUUUCUGAAACCAAAAAGCCGUAACUACUUGAAAAAAAUUGUGUAUAAAAUGAAAGCAAUGGUUUAAAUAAGAGAAUGUGCUUUUAGGCUGUAACUAAAAAAAGUUUUUAACAAGUUAUGUCUUUUUGUAUCUAUUUAUUGUAAGUAUUUUAACACAAAAGAAAUUAUUUAAUUAGUACAUUUAAUUCGAGAAAAUAAAACUAAAUUAAACUGGUUAAGAAAAACAAAAUAAUUCAUUUGAAAACAACAAAACCUGCAAUACAAAUAGUAAAUUAGAAUAGGUUUACCCUUCUGCUAUGUUAGGAAAAAAUUACACACAUAGUGUUUUGGGUCAAUUUGACCCACUUAUAAAAACUCCACUAAUAACACUAUUUUAUUGAAAGAGUUCAUAUAUUUUUAUUUGAAUCAACUUAAGUGUAUGUUAAUUGUAGAAAAUAGUUGAGAUAUGUAUGUUUUAACGGCAAUUUUCAUAAACUAAGCUGCUGUGUUCCUUGCAAACAAAUUUUUGGCACGUACUACAAACAGCUGAAUAUUUGUUCGAAUUUUUUGUAUGAUAACAGAAGAAACAUCCCUGUCGUUUUUGGGUGGAUUCAUUUCUGGCAGAGCAUAGAGCUGGGCAAAAAUAUACUCGAUUUCCGAUAACUAGCUUUCUUUGUCGGCGUUUUUGAUCGAGUGAUGUAAUAAUAAACGGCAAAAUGUUUCAAAAUACUAGGUGGGUCAAAUUGACCCAACAACGUAAUAAGUGUAAUGAAAUUACAUUUGGCAUCCUCCAGCAACAUAAAAAACAGAUAUUAUUAUAAUUUUCAUAUUUAUCUAUUCCAUUUACUUCAGUUAACAAAUAUAAGAAGAAUCAAUACAAUACGACUAGACUAACAAGCGAAUUUCGACGAGUUUUACUGAAAAUUGGCUCAAAUUGACCCAAACAUAGCAGAAGGGUUAAGAUGUAAAGGGUAUAUUAUCAUAAAAGCUGUGGCAGUCAGCCGGAAGUAAAAAUUUAAGUUCCUGCAGGUGUUUCCAUUUCUUUUUGGAUAUUGAUAUUCUUUCGGUAUGUAACUGUGAAGGUUCGAUGUCCCUAAAUUUUUGUUGUGGACGUUGUGGCAAAACGUUAUAAUCGCCGUUGAUAUUUGUUUUAUAAUAAAUUAUUCCAGAUGGAUCAUAUGCCAAGGCACGGAUCAUAUUAACAGUUGGCUCUCCGGAUUUUUUGCCUGUAUUGAAGAAAGACAAAACACAAUAACACAAUUUGAUAAAGAAUGAAAGAUAAUGAAAACAACUGUAAUUACGGAUAACACAAUGUGUCACAUUGAAAUUGAAUCAAAGAGAAUGAAAAAAGGGUAGUUACGGCUUUUUGGUUUAUGAAAUUGUUCAAGUUGUAGUUGCGGCCUUCUGAUUCUCGCCUAUAAAGUCGUUAUUUUUGGACAUAUGCAUGUAAAAUUUGCUGUGUAUACGUGUUUCGGUUAAGUACUUCAUAAUCAAUCAAAAAGUCAAUUUUGAAUUUUUUGUUAGUUACGGCCUUUUGCAUUUUAGGUGACGAUAUGACGAUUUUCGUUAUUCUAUUAAACUUUAUGCCGAAUUUAUGUGUGUUAUCUUAAUAUAAUUACUUCAAUAAAUUGCGAGAGUAUGAAAUGUUCGGUUGCACCUGAACUUAGCGUUUCCUUACUUGUUGUUUAAUAACUUCGUGCAAUCGACGUUGCAUUGAUUUUUUUCGUAAGUUUUUGGGAUAACUUCUUGCACUUGCUUUGCAAUGCUUUUUGAAGUUGUUUCCAGCCCCUAAUAUUGUAAAUUUUAAACCCUUUCUUAACGAUAGACCAUCAAUUUUCAAUUGGGUUUAUAUCUGGGCCUUGCGGUGUUGUUUUUAGGUAAAAUGGACAGAAGUACAAGUACCAAAGAUGGUAUGUUUGGGGUUAUUUUCUUGGUGAAACAGAUAUCGACCCCCCAAUCCAAUGUUAUCUGCAUUUUGUGGAAAAAAUUUAUAUAAAAAUCAACACAUUUGUCAUUCUGCAGUAAUUUUUCAUCCAAAUCUAGUUUUUGUUUGGUUUCAAAAUGUCUAUUUUCGCUGAAAAAAUAGGGUGUACGAAUACUGAUUUUGCAUACUGUAUAUGAAUCCCUUCUCUACAUAUUAAGUUGGCUACGCUGCAAGACGGCUAGAGUUACUUACUACACAAAACAAUCAAAUUUUUCCAGCUGUUUACAGAUACAAUUACAACAUUUACUUUUGUUUACAAUUUCCAAUAGAAUUGGAGAAUACUUUAGUUAGAACUAGAGAACAUAUCGCUACUCUAAGCAUAUUUAUAUGAUAACAUGUUAAAAGAAGAAAGAAUAAUACACUUGUUUUUCUUGUAUUUUCAAGAAAUCCCUCGUUGUAGCAAAUAGACAUUUUGUUAAAAAAUUUGGCGUGUAAGCAGAAGUAGUACGAUGGAAACGUUUCGAAAAAUUGCAGGCAAACUAAUAUCGAGGAGCUAUAUAAUAUGAAAUUCAGAUUAGUAAUUUAUUUUAUAUGGACAUUAUGUUAAAUAUACUAAAUAGUGGAAUAUUUAAGAACAUACAUAUGUAUAUAUGCAUAUGCCUUUUAAAAUCAUUUACAGAACAUUUCAGUGGCAACAGACUGGUCAACGUUCACAUCGUUGAUGGAAACCGUCUCUAUAGUCAAAGCUUUUGGUACGUGCAAGCGUUUGUGCUAAAUUUAGGAAAUGCCACUAUAUUAAAAAUAUAUGUUUCUUUAUUUAAUCAAAUAAUUUACUGCCAACAGUCAAUGGCAAACGACGCUUCACAGCAGCUUUCGAUAUUACAAACAUUGCCAACUCUUUCGUGCGCUGUCAAUUAUGCUAGUGGCGAGAGGUCACUGCUAAGUAAAGUCCUCUUUGGUCUUACUUGUCUUCAUCUUUUUCACACUCUAGUCAAACUAAUGUGGCGCGUGAUAAGGAAGCGAAACGUUUGGGUCUGGUGGUGAACGAGGACAAUAUACCAAAUAUCUCCUGUCAUCGAACAAACAGUCAGCACAUUUGCGUCUUGGCUCCCACGUCACUGUUGACAGUCAUAACUUUAAAGUUGUAAAUAAUUUCGAAUACCUAGGCACCAGCAUCAACACAGAUAAUAACGUCAGUCUUGAAAUCCACCGCAGAAUCACUCUUGCCAACAGGUGCUACUAUGGACUGAGUAGGCAAUUGAAAAGUAAAGUCCCCUCUCAACGAACAAAAACCAAUAUCAACAAGUCCCUCAUCAUUCCCGUCUUCCUUUAUGGUGCAGAAGCGUGGACCAUGUCAACAUUCGAUGAGGCGGCACUAGGAGUUUUCGAGAGAAAGGUUUUGCUGUAGAUUUAUGGUCCUUUAAACAUUAGCAACGGCGAAUACCGCAGAAGAUGGAAUAUGUAAUGUAUGUGUUAUUCGUCGAAAUAGACAUAGUCCAGCGAAUAUAAAGACAGCGGCUACGUUGGUUAGGUCAUGUUGUUCGAAUGGACGAAAGGGCUCCAAACUCUGAAAGUGUACAAUGAGGGUACCCGCUGGUGAAAGCCGUGGAAGAGGGAGGCCUCCAUUCCGAUGGAAGGACCAGGUGGAUAAGGACCUGUAUUCACUGGGUAUUACCAAACUGCCAAAAGGAGAGAUGCGUGGCACGCUGUUGUGGACUCAGCUAUAACCGCGUAAACAGUGUCUACGCUAGUCAAGAAAAAUAAUAAUCUGUUUAUAUGAAUAAUCUGCCUUGAGUCGCUAUUGUUGUACUAUAGUUUGUUUCACUAUUAAAAGUACUGCAAGUACUGCAGCUCGCUUUGCCUUCCAAGAACAAUUUGCUGUAAUUACAUUCCUUUAAAAUACGCUGCAGCUCCCAGUCAAACAUAGUAUAAAUCUGUAAAAAUGAAAUUUACUAUAAAUAUAAAAUAAUAAUACAAAUUAUUAAUACGCAUUUACAUCCACUUACUUGAUCAUUGUAGUACGUGCAUAUCUCUCUUAUAGAUUCAAAAACUAGGGUUAAUGAAUGUUCCCACUUACUACCGAGAUCGCCAUUUAACAACAAAAAGUUAGUACUUUGUAUGUGUUGGUAAAACUGAAAUUUUGUAUGUGCAGUGGUGUAUGAGUUAGGCCACACAUUGUCGAAUAUCAUUAUUAAUCCCUCUUCUACACAUCAAAUUUCACAGAAAAUCGCCGUAACUGUUUAGGCUCUUACAGUUGACCUGACGCUUGGCAUAGACAGACCGGCACGGCAUAAGAUUUAAUUUUAAUUGUAUUCGGUAUUUUUGUAUAAGUUUAAAUUAAUAAAAAAACGCAGACUUUGUACCCUCAAAAAAACGGAAAUUAAUCGAUAUUUAAUAUUUAGCAAUGGAAAAGUGUAACUUGUAUUUGUAAACUAUAUUUGGGUAGCAUUCAAAACCGCGUUAUUAAAAGAAGGGAAUGUUGAACCAACAGUUAAAGAGCGUUUGGCGGGAGACAAUGUUAUAGGUGCACCUUUCGAAAUGCCUAAAAUAGAGUAAGUGUUUUAAAUGUACUCGGAUGGGAUAACAGGCAGCGCGUUGAAAUGAGUCUCAGGAUAGGAUAAAGCCAGAAAAGGCUAACACUCUAGCAAGAAGCUAGAAGUCUGGUAAAUGCUUCAUAUUUAAAAUCUUGCCAUUUUUUCAAUAUUUCUCUAUUCAUUGAAUCUGCUCUUUGAAGCCUAACAAUAAGUUAUAAAAUCUUAAUUCUAAAUAAAUCUAGACAAGCUCAAUGAAGUGAUUGAGUUGUUUUGGUGAAUCGUUGCUCUUUAGUGUGCAGGCAUAUCUCUUCUUUUUAGACCUGAUUGAUCGGAGGUCGGAUACAUAUUUAUUUCUGCUGUUCUUUACUUAUUUCUUUACCAUAAUAAUUCCCAGAUCUUUAUGGAUUUCAUUACGCAUGUACCAUGGUGCGCAC